UCGAGCGGCGGACGGGUGAGUAAUGCCUAGGAAAUUGCCCUGAUGUGGGGGAUAACCAUUGGAAACGAUGGCUAAUACCGCAUGAUGCCUACGGGCCAAAGAGGGGGACCUUCGGGCCUCUCGCGUCAGGAUAUGCCUAGGUGGGAUUAGCUAGUUGGUGAGGUAAGGGCUCACCAAGGCGACGAUCCCUAGCUGGUCUGAGAGGAUGAUCAGCCACACUGGAACUGAGACACGGUCCAGACUCCUACGGGAGGCAGCAGUGGGGAAUAUUGCACAAUGGGCGCAAGCCUGAUGCAGCCAUGCCGCGUGUGUGAAGAAGGCCUUCGGGUUGUAAAGCACUUUCAGUCGUGAGGAAGGUAGUGUAGUUAAUAGCUGCAUUAUUUGACGUUAGCGACAGAAGAAGCACCGGCUAACUCCGUGCCAGCAGCCGCGGUAAUACGGAGGGUGCGAGCGUUAAUCGGAAUUACUGGGCGUAAAGCGCAUGCAGGUGGUUUGUUAAGUCAGAUGUGAAAGCCCGGGGCUCAACCUCGGAAUUGCAUUUGAAACUGGCAGACUAGAGUACUGUAGAGGGGGGUAGAAUUUCAGGUGUAGCGGUGAAAUGCGUAGAGAUCUGAAGGAAUACCGGUGGCGAAGGCGGCCCCCUGGACAGAUACUGACACUCAGAUGCGAAAGCGUGGGGAGCAAACAGGAUUAGAUACCCUGGUAGUCCACGCCGUAAACGAUGUCUACUUGGAGGUUGUGGCCUUGAGCCGUGGCUUUCGGAGCUAACGCGUUAAGUAGACCGCCUGGGGAGUACGGUCGCAAGAUUAAAACUCAAAUGAAUUGACGGGGGCCCGCACAAGCGGUGGAGCAUGUGGUUUAAUUCGAUGCAACGCGAAGAACCUUACCUACUCUUGACAUCCAGAGAACUUUCCAGAGAUGGAUUGGUGCCUUCGGGAACUCUGAGACAGGUGCUGCAUGGCUGUCGUCAGCUCGUGUUGUGAAAUGUUGGGUUAAGUCCCGCAACGAGCGCAACCCUUAUCCUUGUUUGCCAGCGAGUAAUGUCGGGAACUCCAGGGAGACUGCCGGUGAUAAACCGGAGGAAGGUGGGGACGACGUCAAGUCAUCAUGGCCCUUACGAGUAGGGCUACACACGUGCUACAAUGGCGCAUACAGAGGGCGGCCAACUUGCGAAAGUGAGCGAAUCCCAAAAAGUGCGUCGUAGUCCGGAUUGGAGUCUGCAACUCGACUCCAUGAAGUCGGAAUCGCUAGUAAUCGUGGAUCAGAAUGCCACGGUGAAUACGUUCCC
This 1288-nucleotide ribosomal RNA is filed under the name Vibrio sp. B1FLJ16. RNAcentral describes it as "bacterial SSU rRNA". It matches the Rfam family "Bacterial small subunit ribosomal RNA", at positions 91 to 1375 of the family's 1533-position model. The record is from RNAcentral. Lineage: Bacteria; Pseudomonadati; Pseudomonadota; Gammaproteobacteria; Vibrionales; Vibrionaceae.